UGCUACGAUCCACGUAGCCUCCCUUUGAUCUUCGAACCAAUGCAGGUUCCUUGGAAGCAGAACCAGCCUGACGUGUGCGCCGAUCACCGCCCCCGUACUGACACUUGACAUCAUCUCCAUUCCCUUCCUUAAAGAAGUCCAUUGUUUGAAUCACAGCCCGCAACGUGGUCCUUUGUUUCCACCAUUGCCGGUCAGGAGUUUACUCCAUCCCCUGCUAGUUAAUGUAGUCUGGGCAGCGGAGGAGACGUGGCUCACGAACUGCCGCUACGGUCGCGGUGAGGCCGGGUUUGUCAAGGUGAUUAGACUUGAGAAAGCAGCUGCAUAACUUGCAAGAAAAAGAGAAAAUUCUCUUCUUCCAAUGUUAAAUCAUUUUUGAUAUUAAGAGAAGAGAAAUUACCGAUAAUUUUCUUGCAAGUUAUGCAGUUGCUGUCUCAAGCUCGCCGCUUCCUUCUGCCAAUUCAAGUGGGCACAAAACAAAAUCGUUUGAUAAUUCUAAUGCAGAUUUGGUGCAGAACUAUUUAAGAGGGGUUUAGUUUCUCACAACCAUGAAACAAACAAAGAGAAGAGCGGAUGAGAUAAAGGAGAGGGCAGCCAUCCAAGAAAGCAAAGUUUUUUAGUGCUUAUAAGAGCAGUGUCCGGUUGCUUCAAGAGAGAAAGGAGUUGUUUCCUCUUUUUCUGUUCUAGCAAGAGGAGGAGCUAUCAACAAUAGAAAGACAGUGCUCGUUUAAACUCCUACAACAAAAGGGUAAGGGAGUACAUACAUUAAAGCAUUUCCUUAUGUUUACCCAUCAUCUUUGCAGCAUGUGUUUGUGCUUCUUAUCAGCCAUUGAAUUUGGCAAAAUGAUAUCUCUAUCUAUAUCUUCUACUUUGUAUUGUAUAAUCCCUUUAUGCACCAAUCUUGAAGCUCUCUGAAAUAUUUGAUCUCUGUGGGUUUUAUGUAGGCGGUGGAUCUUAUAGCCA
Phalaenopsis equestris is the source of this 960-nucleotide long non-coding RNA. RefSeq lists it as uncharacterized. The record is from RefSeq and is a predicted model, not a curated record. NCBI's taxonomy places the organism in Eukaryota, Viridiplantae, Streptophyta, Magnoliopsida, Asparagales, Orchidaceae. The transcript has 4 exons.